This 368-nucleotide ribosomal RNA is filed under the name uncultured organism. RNAcentral describes it as "bacterial SSU rRNA". It matches the Rfam family "Bacterial small subunit ribosomal RNA", at positions 526 to 896 of the family's 1533-position model. The record is from RNAcentral.
CGUAGGUGGCAAGCGUUGUCCGGAUUUAUUGGGUUUAAAGGGAGCGUAGGUGGCCUUAUAAGUCAGCGGUGAAAUCUCUGGGCUUAACCCAGAAAUUGCCAUUGAUACUGUAGGGCUUGAGUACAGUUGCUGUGGGCGGAAUAUGACAUGUAGUGGUGAAAUACAUAGAGAUGUCAUAGAACACCGAUUGCGAAGGCAGCUCACAAAACUGUAACUGACACUGAGGCUCGAAAGUGCGGGGAUCAAACAGGAUUAGAUACCCUGGUAGUCCGCACUGUAAACGAUGAUUACUCGCUGCUAGAGGGCAACUUUUAGUGGCUUAGCGAAAGCGAUAAGUAAUCCACCUGGGGAGUACGCCGGCAACGGUG